RNAcentral lists this long non-coding RNA (3802 nucleotides) under Arabidopsis lyrata. RNAcentral describes it as "long non-coding RNA (ALYR_LNC001180)". The record is from RNAcentral. Lineage: Eukaryota; Viridiplantae; Streptophyta; Magnoliopsida; Brassicales; Brassicaceae.
UUCUCCAACAACUGAAUUCAUUCAAACUUAAAUUUGUUUAUAUAUGUCCACAUUAUCCAAACAAUCCAUGGAAAAGACUUAUCUAAUCCCUCCUGGCAAUCUUCUUUAUCAUUCGAGAUGCUUAACAAGUGAUGCAAAUUAUUGUACAACGAGUCCAAUCAUCCGUAUUCCAGAGAAGAAAUGUUCGAUAAAGGCAAAGCUCACACUUGUCUGGUCAGAAGACAUUAAAAAAGAGCAAGUGAUUCACAAUUUCCACUUUGCAUCCACAUUGACAUAACUGUCAUCCUAAUUCCACUAUUUCUGUAAGCUUAGAGAUGUUGAAUCGUUUUGCUUUUGCAUCCACAUAAACACCGUAUCAUUUCACUUUUUUUUUUUAAAAAAUUUUAAUCAAUACUUUGAUGCGUUUUUCUUUGUAUGAAAUCCUUUUAAACAUUGCAUUAUGUGAAAUUAGUUUGCAUAAAAUUACAAAGUGAUCAAAUGAAAUAUAUUUAAUUGAUUUUGAGUGACUUAAAAGUGGAGAAACCCACAAGAUGUCACAAUACUUCUCGUUCAAGUUUGAGGACCGCCAUGAAAGCUUCUUGAGGGACGUCAACUCUACCUAUGGCUUUCAUUCUCUUCUUACCUGCCGCCUGUUUGACACAACAACACAUUUUAAGGAACGCAGAAACCGCUGAAGAUACAAUCAUGAAAUCAAGAUAUACCUGUUUCUUAAGAAGCUUCUUCUUCCGAGAAAUAUCUCCACCUGAAUGAAUCAUAGUAACAAGAUCAGAUAUGGCUUUGUGGGAACAAACACGUCAAAGAGAAAACUAUUUCAUUCUCUGUGUCUGAAUCCAGUUGUGCAAGAAAGAGCCUUUAGAAGAAGUUUCCGAUAAUACAAGAGCUUACACUAAAACGGUUAAUGAGUUUCGAUAUCAAGUCAGCUGGUGAUUAUUUCAUGCUUUUAUGAAAGGAGGAAGGGAAGCAAUGGAAUGUGUACUUACCAUAACAUUUUGCCAAAACAUCUUUUCUGAUUGCUGAGAGUGCUUCACUAGCAAUCACCUUGGAUCCUAUACAAGCCUGUAAGUAUAUGUAUAUGUCAAAACAUCUUCCGUGGUUUUUAUAUUACUAUAUUCUAAGGGCAUUGUCAGAUAACCAAGCAGGAACACAGUUCAUCAGACCCAUCUGAUCACAAGUAAGUUUUAUAAGCUCAGAAGGAGAAGACUUAAGAUCCAAUCCAUCUUAUGUGCCUCAGGCCCUAGGAGUUAGAUUUAGAAUCUUCAAGCAUUCGUAGAAAUGUAAGUUAUUUGGAAGAGAACUCUCUAGCAAAUUAUUUUCAAAAGCUUGGAAAUGCAGAUAUAUACCUGGAUGGGCACUUUAAACAUUUGUCGUGGAAUAAGCUCUUUGAGUUUUUGAGUCAAAGCUCUCCCAACAGAAUAUGCCUGGAAGUACAGUACAAAACGAUUCCACAAUACUGUGAGGACAAGACUCUAAUAUAACCCAAUGCUAAAUCCUGAGAGAUGUACUAAUCUCGGCAGUGAGAGCUUUAAGCUAAUGGGAACAGUUCCACAAAACUUCACAAUCAGAAACGUGUGAAAGAUAGUUAGCAGUGCCUUUUGUUUCCAUCAAUCUACUUGUCAAACUUAUUCGGCAAGUGAAAUUGUAUAAUUGCGAUUGCUGAACCAAUUAUUUCUAUUCAGGUAUAAGAGUGUGUAUGUAUGCUAUGUUCAGAUUAAAGAGCUUAAGCAAAAAUAACCUUGUCUCUGUGUACGAUGGUUGACAAAGGUUCCACCAUUUCAGCAUUAAUCAGAAUAUCGAGUUUUAUCAGAUCGCUUUCCCUGUACCUGCACACAUAUUUCAAGAAACAAAAAAACUAGUUGAAUAUCUUAAGAUGCUAAGAAAAUAAAUCAAAAAGAGCAAAGGGAACAUAUAUGUAUUAAGCUUAUAUGGAAAUUGAAGAAACCGAGCUUCCUUCUGUUCCAAUCAUAUAGUUUAGUCAACCUGAAGAAGCUGACAGUAGUUAACUUGUACAAAGAAGGGCUACCAAAUUUUACGUAGAGAGCAACACGAUAAUUAACCUGAUUGAAACUGAUCUGAUGGUGCUAAGAAUAUAUAUUACAGAUUACUUGGGAUUACUAAGAAAAGAAUAUAGAUUCUUAUCUUUAAGAAAAUCUGACGCAUUUCUUAGUUAAUCAACUAAAAUAGAAGACAUGCAUCAGAAAUUAAGAGAAAGAUCUGUGCAUCAAAGUUGAAAGAACUAACCCAAUAACUGAGUAUUCCAUGCUAGCAUAUCCCUUGGUUCUCGACUUCAAUUGGUCAAAGAAAUCUCCCACCAUCUGCAAAAAGGUAGGGAGAAAUUAUUUAGAAGAUCAGUUAACAUAAAUAAGAAAGACAUGUCUAAACUUUCAUUGGGGUUAUCUUAACUCUGCACAAGCAGAAAACUCACCUCUGCAAGAGGUAACUCAUAGAGGAUCGAAGCUCUGUUCUCAGCUAUAUAUUUCAUUUCUUUGAACUCCCCUCUCCUCUCUUGGGCGAGCUCCAUAAGCGCACCGAUAUAGUCUUUUGGUGUAAGCAGCUCAAUCUGUAUAAUACCGGUUUGCAGUAAGGAAAUGUAAUUCUACGAAAUGUGGGGUGUGAACUUAUCAGCAAUAACUAUGCAGCAGAAAAGGUAACCUUAACAUAUGGCUCCUCGACCGAUUUCCUUUGCCCAGGAUCUGGAAGGCGUGAUGGAUUUGAGCACAAAGUCUGCAGUAAAAUUUAUCACAGGUAAUAAGGCUAUAGAUAUCAAGAAAGAAGCACAAAAGGAUGCAAUUUUCAGGGAACAAAGAAGAAUAUUUAAAAGUGUAGGAUCAAGAGGAAAUUACAGUAUCACCAUUUACAGAGUUCACCCUAUAAACAACACUUGGAGCUGUGGUAAUAAGAUUUAAGUUGUACUCCCUCUCUAGCCUUUCCUGUGAAGAAGAAUGAACUGGAGGGUAAGAGUGAAGAAUGAUAUAAUUCACUUUGUGGAGUAUAAUUUAUGGCGGCAUCAAUCGGGGUGGAAACUGUAAAUAUGUAGAAUACUAACAGAUAACUCAGUAUAUAUGAAUUUUUUUUGUCUAUCUUCUGUUAUCAGCAUAGGAAAUUUUCAUUCAGAGACGUACCAAAAACAUUUUAAAACAAGAAGAGCAAAACAUAUCUUACCUGCACAAUUUCCAUGUGUAGAAGACCCAAAAAGCCGCAUCUAAAGCCAAAACCCAUGGCACUUGAAGUUUCAGGCUCAAACUGCAGGAUAAAGACCAAGAUGAGGACAAGCCUAUAGAUGAAUUAAUGCUACGCUCCUUAGACCAAAUGUGAAUACUUUUAACAAAGAUAUAUACAAUAGAGGACUGAAAUCCCUAGACCAGUUCUUUGCAAAACAAAACUUUACUUUUCAAUUAGCAUACUGAGCCUAAAAAUAUAUUGGCCAAGUAAGCAUACGGAGAUCAUAGUUUUUUUCGUCCGUGCAAAUUAUUCUGGGUACAGACGAAAGAAAAAUGUUGUUUUCUGUCAUUUUAUUCUACUAUACCUUCAGUGCAGCAUCAUUGAGUUGCAAUUUUUCCAAUGCAUCGCGAAGAUCGGGAAACCUGCCAUCAUAGAUUAAGUGUGAAAAAAUAUAAAAAAUUAAAAAGCAAAAAGUCAACAAACAAAAGCAAAAACUCAGUACUGGUCAGCGUCAACUGGAAAUAGGCCACAAAACACCAUAGGGGUAGCUUCCUCGUAACCAGGUAAAGAGCUUUCUGCCUUUCUGCUAUAAUGUGUUAUUGUAUCUCCUACCCUGGCAUCUGCAACAGAUCUUACAGAAGCC